RNAcentral lists this ribosomal RNA (447 nucleotides) under uncultured bacterium. RNAcentral describes it as "bacterial SSU rRNA". It matches the Rfam family "Bacterial small subunit ribosomal RNA", at positions 329 to 793 of the family's 1533-position model. The record is from RNAcentral.
CCCCAGACUCCUACGGGAGGCAGCAGUGGGGAAUAUUGCACAAUGGGGGAAACCCUGAUGCAGCGACGCCGCGUGAGCGAUGAAGUAUUUCGGUAUGUAAAGCUCUAUCAGCAGGGAAGAAGAUGACGGUACCUGACUAAGAAGCCCCGGCUAACUACGUGCCAGCAGCCGCGGUAAUACGUAGGGGGCAAGCGUUAUCCGGAUUUACUGGGUGUAAAGGGAGCGUAGACGGCGAUGCAAGCCAGAUGUGAAAGCCCGGGGCUCAACCCCGGGACUGCAUUUGGAACUGUGUGGCUGGAGUGUCGGAGAGGCAGGCGGAAUUCCUAGUGUAGCGGUGAAAUGCGUAGAUAUUAGGAGGAACACCAGUGGCGAAGGCGGCCUGCUGGACGAUGACUGACGUUGAGGCUCGAAAGCGUGGGGAGCAAACAGGAUUAGAUACCCGUGUAU